Molecule: long non-coding RNA, 250 nt
Organism: Lagopus muta (rock ptarmigan)
Lineage: Eukaryota; Metazoa; Chordata; Aves; Galliformes; Phasianidae
Exons: 3
Source: RefSeq, a predicted model, not a curated record
AGGUUCCUGACCCUCCCUGUUCAGUGAUACUAACACACCAACCAGAGGGGGUUGAUUCCCUCACCAGUGGUACUUAUCCGUACAGCAGCAUUAGUUCUCAUUUGCGGCUGCCUUGGACUGGGCUGUGCUGGUGAUGACACAUGGAGGAUCAGAGGAUUACGUUGUGCCCCUGUCCAGUUCUUGUGGAAAUGUGUUUUUCUGCAUUGCUUCUUUAAGAAAAACAGAAGAUUUGAAGAGUACUGCCUGCAGC